CAAGCCUCCAUUAUCAAGUCUCUCUAUAUUAAAGCCUGAAAAAGAGUAUUAAGGAACUCUGACAGAUUUUCAUGACGCCUAAGGUCCUCACCAAAACUGCCCAGGCUUGGAAUGUCCCUGAAACCUCCAUAAAGAACAUCAAUAAUUCUAUGUACAUGUUUUCUGCAACUUUCUUGUAAUUCAUAUUAAAUAAUAAAACCAUAUAUGUAGCAA
This is a long non-coding RNA of Rana temporaria (common frog), 213 nucleotides long. RefSeq lists it as uncharacterized. The transcript is spliced from 2 exons. The record is from RefSeq and is a predicted model, not a curated record. NCBI's taxonomy places the organism in Eukaryota, Metazoa, Chordata, Amphibia, Anura, Ranidae.